RNAcentral lists this ribosomal RNA (257 nucleotides) under uncultured bacterium. RNAcentral's name for it is "partial 16S ribosomal RNA". It matches the Rfam family "Bacterial small subunit ribosomal RNA", at positions 96 to 354 of the family's 1533-position model. The record is from RNAcentral.
UGGCGAACGGGUGAGUAAUACAUCGGAACGUGUCCGCUCGUGGGGGACAACCAGCCGAAAGGUUGGCUAAUACCGCAUGAGUUCUACGGAAGAAAGAGGGGGACCCGCAAGGGCCUCUCGCGAGCGGAGCGGCCGAUGACUGAUUAGCCGGUUGGUGAGGUAACGGCUCACCAAAGCAACGAUCAGUAGCUGGUCUGAGAGGACGACCAGCCACACUGGGACUGAGACACGGCCCAGACUCCUACGGAAGGCAGCAG